UGAGACUGAUGCAAAAUCCCAGGCAGUGACGUUCUAGUGACUCAGCCCAGUGGGCGGAAGUGAUUUUAAAUAAUGACAGUAUCAACCGUCUUCCUCCUCCUGCUCCUUCUGCCACGGAACACAAACUCUCUGGUCCUGCACCCACUGAGUCAGCUACUCUCUGCGGGCCUGAAACGCAGGCAGCGCUACACAGAAAGAAUCUCAAUGAUCUGGUCUACUGUGUACAACAUGAACAUUUCUGAGAACCUUCGAGAGCCCCAGGAAGCAAGUUGCCUUCAUGGGUCAAGAUCAGAGCUGAGGAAAACAUUCUGUUCCACAUCUUGAGCUUUGCCUUAGAAACCCAAGCCCCGCACUCUGGGCUCCCAGCAUUGUAAACUAGCAACCUUUGUUCAAAAGCCUCAGCCAAAAUGUAUUCCCUCUGUUUCAGUUCUCUUUUCACCAGAUCAUGUUCUUAAAGGUGUCUGCCAAGACUCAAACCACUCUUGAGAUUUAUAUGCUGUCAAAACUUUCAUGGGUUCCAGGUGAAGGCACACUUAGAGAGAGCUGAUGCAUGGAAAUGGGACCAUUUGUCUGAAUAGAGCACUAUUCAAAUCCAUAGAAAACGCUCUUUCUCCAAACUCAGGAAGAAGUUGCAUUCUGUCCUUCCUUUCUUCUAAAGAGAAGUAAGAGUCUGUGUGUCUUGACUAAAAUGUCCAGGAUCUAAUCUUUCUCUUCCUGACAUUUAGAGUAACCUUUGAUGAAUUACUCAACCUUUCCUCAUUCGAGAUGAAGAGGAAGUGCAGAGGACAAUUAUUAAUUCAGCCACUACAAUGUUAGAAGACAUAGAUAAUGAUGACUCUAAAGGUCCUUAAAAAUAUGUAAUGCUAGGUGGAUACUUAAUCAAAACCUUCUCUGGGUUUUCAAAAUUCUCUUUGGAAUUAGUUCUGUGUGAAUAUGCCUCUCUGGAUCUAUUCUCAUCUCCAGUUGAGUACCCCUCCUUUCAAACUCUCAUGAUCUACAAUUUGAAGUUGUUCUGACAAAAAAAUCACCUGCCCACUGCAUCAUCACCAGAUUUUCCUCUCCAGGCCAUUUCCAAAAGAAUGGGUCUCAUAUUCCUUUGUGAGAGAACAAGCUGGUUAUUCCUUACAUCUAACAAGCGGUACUUUACAGAAAGGAAGUGUAAUGAAAUCAGAAGCUUGGAAAUACAUGUAAUGGCUUUGUCUCAUGUUUUUAUUUGGGGUAUAAUAAAGUGCCACAGACAUUAAUCCA
Molecule: long non-coding RNA, 1248 nt
Filed under: Bos indicus x Bos taurus (hybrid cattle)
Lineage: Eukaryota; Metazoa; Chordata; Mammalia; Artiodactyla; Bovidae
Description: lncRNA (ENSBIXG00000003447.1)
Source: RNAcentral